RNAcentral lists this long non-coding RNA (1431 nucleotides) under Homo sapiens (human). RNAcentral describes it as "HSALNT0393563". Lineage: Eukaryota; Metazoa; Chordata; Mammalia; Primates; Hominidae. The record is from RNAcentral.
ACCGUGAAGUUUGCUGGCAGCAUAUACAUAUCUCUGGCCUUAUGAGGGCUCACCCUAGCGUCACCCAUAGCACCCUGCUUUUAUUGUCAGUGUUCCCUUAUAUGUUCACAGUCACUGGAAAUGAUCAACACAAUUAGAUUUGCUUCUUUUGCCCCAGAACAAAGCGGGUUUGUUGAUGUACUGAAUCGGACACAUUACUUUCUAGCUGAACACUCAGCUUCAUCCACUCCAGGACAGCUGAGCGUCUGGGAGGAGCAGUGUCAACAGUCCUAGCCAGCUGUUGCUGAAGGGCCCAACACCAAAUCCCAGCUGAAGAACAGCUUCUCAUCUUUUGAGACACAGCACAGGGUGAUGGGCAUGGAGCUCUUCCACACUCCCCACAGUCUGACUUAGCUCUCUCCGUUGUGCCCUCCUGGCACCCUGCUCGUAUUUUAUUGUGGCACCUAUAUCGCUGGAUCUCACUCACUGGUUUGCACUCCUGUAUCCCCUUUGAGGGAACAAAUCCCAUGCCUCUGCAAUCCCAGGAUCUGAUACUGAGAUAGACACUAAACAGAUAUUUAAAAAUUUUUGAUAAUCAAUGAAUGGACAAGGAGAAUAAAUAAUAUGAAAGAUGAAAUAAAGAAAUAAAAGUAUUAAUGAGAGUAUAAACAUAUCCAGAUUGGGCUGGGUGCGAUGGCUCAUGCCUAUAAUCCCAGCACUUUGGGAGGCUGAGGUGGGAGGAUCACUUGAGGUCAAGAGUUCGAGAGCAGCCUGGCCAACAUGGCGAAACCCUGUCUCUGCUAGAGAUACAAAAAUUAGCUGGGUGUGGUGGUGUGUGCUUGUAAUCCCAGCUACUUGGGAGGCUGAGGCAGGAGAAUCACUUGAACCUGGGAGGCGGAAGCUGCAGUGAGCUGAAAUUGCACCAGCCUGGGUGACACAGUGAGACUCUGUCUCAAAACAAAACAAAACAACAACAACAAAAAAAAAAAAAAAAGAAAGAAAGAAAAAAAGAAAUCCAGAUAGACUAUUAUGUCUUACUGUUCUUUUUCAUUCAUACCAAAUGGGAAAGAAUUUCCUGUCAAUGCUGGCAGUCUCUGGCUAUCAUGUGGCAGCAUCCGGGAAGGACCUUUGAGGCCACGCUCUUUCCCUCAGGGGACAGUGAGGUGCGUUGUCCAUGGCACCGAUGGGUUUUUCUCUGGGUAGCAGGAGGUUCCACAAUUCCCCAGCCCCAUUUCCUUUUAAGUCAUUCUGGUUAUCAUUUCAGUUGAAAGAAUUGGAGCUACUUUUCACUUGGGAGAACAUAAUAAAAAUCACUUAUUCAGUACUAAAUUAGGAUGGACAGCCUUUCUCUUGGGAAGAAAAGCAAUAACAGAUCACAAUAAUGAGAUUGUGCAACAAGCUUUGAAAAUGCUUAUACUACAUUUAUAUGAAACAGUAUUUGCUUACACUUCA